UAAAAAUUCCCUUGGGGUAAUUGCAGGAUAAACAUCUGCAGUUGGGGCCAAGCAUCUGAAGGAAUCCCUCUAAAAACCAGAAAUGGCUCAACGCACAACAAUACGCACAGUAAAAAUCAUAAAGAGUCCAAAAUCAGAAUAAGUAACAAAUUAAACAACACAAAAAUUGAAAAUGACGAUAUUACAAAAAUCAACAAGGGACUACGAACACAUUACAACAUGCCAGCUCCAG
This 232-nucleotide long non-coding RNA is filed under the name Mytilus galloprovincialis (Mediterranean mussel). Lineage: Eukaryota; Metazoa; Mollusca; Bivalvia; Mytilida; Mytilidae. The record is from RNAcentral.